AGCCACUCUGAGAGCUGGGCGGGCUGGCAGCGGCCUCCCUGGGGCAGGCUCAGGCUGUGGCGCUCGCUGCGGAUCCGUCUCCGUUUUGCUGGUCGAGAUGUUUUUCUCUGAGGCCGGGGCCCGGCCACGGACAAGGGAAAUCAGCCCCUCGGAACACAAGAAAUGGGUGGAAGUCUUUAAAGCAUGUGAUGAAGAUAACAAAGGCUAUCUAAGCAGAGAGGACUUUAAAGUUGCUGUUGUAAUGCUGUUUGGGUACAAGCCCACCCAGAUAGAAACCAAUUCUGUGAUGUCUUCAAUAAACGCAGACACCUCCGGUGUACUCCUUGGGGAGUUUUUAAACAUUGUAAGGAAGAAGAAGGAAGCUCAACUUUAUCAGAAUGAAGCACGACACAUCUUCACAGCUUUUGACAGGCACUAUCGUGGCUAUUUAACUCUGGAAGAUUUCAAAAAAGCCUUUGAACAGGUGGCUCCCAGGUUACCAGAAAGGGUCAUUCUGGAGGUGUUCAGGACGGGCUCCCAAGGAACACUCUUGAGACAGAGCUUCACAUGCAGAAAGUUCACUGGGGGGGGGGGGGGGGUGCUCUCAGAACAAGCCUGUGGAGGAGACGGGAAAGCAGGACAGGGGAAGAACAGCUCUGGCCAGUACUGGGGGUGUCCCCUCCAGCCUGCAGAGACGUGGCAGAGAAGCGAGCUGAGCUGAACUUAUUCUCCUGCUGGACCAGACGCUGCCCCUGGGGGAGGGGCCUGUUGCUGAUUGAGGGGAAGUAGAUCAAGACUCAGAUGACCUCGUCAGUUUUAAGGACUUUGAAUAUGCCAUGAACUAUGGACAAGAUCCAGCCUGAUCAACCCUUAGAAGCUCCUGUGAGGGGAUUUCUGCAGACUCCAACAAGUAGCAUGUGUCUGGAUACCGAACAGAACCCACUGAUAAUGCAACACUAUGUGCUUCCCAUUAAACUCUUGGUAGUG
Erinaceus europaeus (western European hedgehog) is the source of this 966-nucleotide RNA transcript. It is a transcript of the gene named EF-hand calcium binding domain 11, with no coding region annotated. NCBI's taxonomy places the organism in Eukaryota, Metazoa, Chordata, Mammalia, Eulipotyphla, Erinaceidae. The transcript has 7 exons. The record is from RefSeq and is a predicted model, not a curated record.